GCCAGACUCCUACGGGAGGCAGCAGUGGGGAAUAUUGGGCAAUGGGCGCAAGCCUGACCCAGCAACGCCGCGUGAAGGAAGAAGGCUUUCGGGUUGUAAACUUCUUUUGACAGGGAAGAGUAGAAGACGGUACCUGUCGAAUAAGCCACGACUAACUACGUGCCAGCAGCCGCGGUAAUACGUAGGUGGCAAGCGUUGUCCGGAUUUACUGGGUGUAAAGGGCGUGUAGCCGGGUUGACAAGUCAGAUGUGAAAGCCUGCGGCUUAACCGCAGAACUGCAUUUGAACCUGUUGAUCUUGAGUACUGGAGAGGCAGGCGGAAUUCCUAGUGUAGCGGUGAAAUGCGUAGAUAUUAGGAGGAACACCAGUGGCGAAGGCGGUCUGCUGGACAGCAACUGACGGUGAGGCGCGAAAGCGUGGGGAGCAAACAGGAUUAGAUACCCCCGUACU
This 449-nucleotide ribosomal RNA is filed under the name uncultured bacterium. RNAcentral describes it as "partial 16S ribosomal RNA". It matches the Rfam family "Bacterial small subunit ribosomal RNA", at positions 330 to 794 of the family's 1533-position model. The record is from RNAcentral.